AGGGGGCGAGCGUUGUCCGGAUUUAUUGGGCGUAAAGAGCUCGUAGGCGGUUCAACAAGUCGGUCGUGAAGUUCAGGGCUCACCCUGAAAUGUCGAUCGAUACUGUUGUGACUAGGAUACGGUAGAGGUGAGUGGAAUUCCGAGUGUAGCGGUGAAAUGCGUAGAUAUUCGGAGGAACACCAAUUGCGAAGCAGCUCACUGGGCCGAUAUCGACGCU
RNAcentral lists this ribosomal RNA (217 nucleotides) under uncultured bacterium. RNAcentral describes it as "partial 16S ribosomal RNA". It matches the Rfam family "Bacterial small subunit ribosomal RNA", at positions 529 to 747 of the family's 1533-position model. The record is from RNAcentral.